UACGGGGGGUGCAAGCGUUGUUCGGAAUUAUUGGGCGUAAAGAGCGUGUAGGCGGCAAGAUAAGUCAGAUGUGAAAGCCCUGGGCUCAACUCAGGAAGUGCAUUUGAUACUGUCUCGCUUGAGUACUGGAGAGGGAAGAGGAAUUCCUGGUGUAGAGGUGAAAUUCGUAGAUAUCAGGAGGAACACCGGUGGCGAAGGCGACUUCCUGGCCAGAUACUGACGCUGAGACGCGAGAGCGUGGGGAGCAAACAGG
This 253-nucleotide ribosomal RNA is filed under the name uncultured bacterium. Its description in RNAcentral is "partial 16S ribosomal RNA". It matches the Rfam family "Bacterial small subunit ribosomal RNA", at positions 524 to 776 of the family's 1533-position model. The record is from RNAcentral.